AUAUUUCUGCUGAUAAAAAUACCGCAUGUGCUUCACAUGAUUUUUAUAUUUAAAAGCUUUGUGUUUUUCUUUCUAGGGAACAGGAUUCUCUGGUUAAGACCUGAAAACACAGAGUGUGUUCCCAAGUUACAUGCAAGUUUUGCUGCAUACCUUCAUUAUGAUCAGCACUGGCACUUGAGUGAUGCGCUGCUGAGAAACCGAUUUGCUCUUCCAAGCCCCGUGUUUUUGUAAAGGUGUCAUGUCAAAAUGUGCAGUGUUGAAGCAGCAGUAACUGAAUACUUCCCGGUUCUGUGUAUGGAUCUUAGAAAAUGUGGUGGUUCCCCCUACAAAGUAAACAAAGACAAAGCCAGUUAGGUGACAAUACUGGUUG
RNAcentral lists this long non-coding RNA (370 nucleotides) under Coturnix japonica (Japanese quail). Its description in RNAcentral is "lncRNA (ENSCJPG00005012396.1)". The record is from RNAcentral. Lineage: Eukaryota; Metazoa; Chordata; Aves; Galliformes; Phasianidae.